GUACAAGCCAAAUUAAGGUGAAACCGCGAAAGGCUCAUUAAAUCAGUUAUGGUUCCUUAGAUCGUACCACACCUACUUGGAUAACUGUGGUAAUUCUAGAGCUAAUACAUGCAAACAGAGCUCCGACCGGAGACGGAAGGAGCGCUUUUAUUAGAUCAAAACCAAUCGGUGAUGGGUCCGCCCGUCACCGUACAACUUGGUGACUCUGAAUAACUUACUGCUGAUCGCACGGUCUAGCACCGGCGACGCAUCUUUCAAAUGUCUGCCUUAUCAACUGUCGAUGGUAGGUUCUGCGCCUACCAUGGUUGUAACGGGUAACGGGGAAUCAGGGUUCGAUUCCGGAGAGGGAGCCUGAGAAACGGCUACCACAUCCAAGGAAGGCAGCAGGCGCGCAAAUUACCCACUCCCGGCACGGGGAGGUAGUGACGAAAAAUAACGAUACGGGACUCAUCCGAGGCCCCGUAAUCGGAAUGAGUACACUCUAAACCCUUUAACUAGGAUCAAUUGGAGGGCAAGUCUGGUGCCAGCAGCCGCGGUAAUUCCAGCUCCAAUAGCGUAUAUUAAAGUUGUUGCGGUUAAAAAGCUCGUAGUCGAAUCUGUGUCCCGCGCCGCCGGUUCAUCGUUCGCGGUG
Molecule: ribosomal RNA, 631 nt
Filed under: Xantholinus tricolor
Lineage: Eukaryota; Metazoa; Arthropoda; Insecta; Coleoptera; Staphylinidae
Description: SSU rRNA
Rfam family: Eukaryotic small subunit ribosomal RNA
Source: RNAcentral